ACCUAGCCCCGAUGGAAGCGGCAUCCUUUUUCAUUGCCAUAGCCUACGUUUAAUACUAAACUAACUUCGCAAUGAAAAAAGAUACAGCGGACAGCGGGAAAUAGC
Molecule: small RNA, 105 nt
Filed under: Epilithonimonas mollis
Lineage: Bacteria; Pseudomonadati; Bacteroidota; Flavobacteriia; Flavobacteriales; Weeksellaceae
Description: Chryseobacterium molle Flavo-1 RNA
Rfam family: Flavo-1 RNA
Source: RNAcentral